Musca domestica (house fly) is the source of this 1313-nucleotide long non-coding RNA. RefSeq lists it as uncharacterized. NCBI's taxonomy places the organism in Eukaryota, Metazoa, Arthropoda, Insecta, Diptera, Muscidae. The record is from RefSeq and is a predicted model, not a curated record. The transcript is spliced from 6 exons.
UUUUUUUUUGUGAUUCUCUUUCUCCUUCUUCGUCAUGGUUGGCAGGUACCCGAAGUACACAUAUGCCAAAUUACUAGGUUAUUGAUUACUUAAUAAUCGUAUUCUUUGUUUUGUUUAUGUUUCUGCUAUCACACAAAGAAAAUCAGAGUUGAAGAUUGCAUUUGUGAAUGAAGUUUGAUAGUUCGACGAAAUUUUCUGGCGAGAAGGUUUUUAAAAUUGAUGGUAAGUCCUUGUACCUUUCGAAGAUUUUAAAUUGUUUCCUUUCGUUACAGAAUUUUGGGCAAACAAAAAUUUGGUGAUCCUCACUUUCAGUGAUUCCACAAAGUGUGCAGAUGUCUGAGGCCUCGACUUUAAUGCGAUCUUUAUAUUACCAGGUGACAUCUUUGAGCCAGUGAACCAGUAAGACUUUGGUGGUGUGUUGAAGAAUUGUGAAAAAUGAUCAUAAAUUGCAGAGUAUGCGUCUGUAAUUGAAGCAUUGGUGGUAAUUAUACAGCCAGCUGUGGCUGCGUGUUUGGCGAAAUAAUCUGCGAGUUCGUUUGCUGGUAUACCAAUAUGCGAGGGAGUCCAUAUGAAAAUAAGAGAUUACCGCACAACCUGUACUACUGUCUGUGACUGAUGCAUCAGUUGACCAUAUGGAAUGACUCUGGUUUUUUAGACAGACUAGUUUUUCUUGAAGAAUUGCUCUAGAGAAUUCAUUGGACUUGGAGUGCUUUAGUGCCUUAAAGAGAUCAUCUAAAAAGCUUAUUUUCUUUGAAGGUAUCCUUUUUUGAUUUACCAUAGUUCGGUCAAGGAUGUGUUUAAAUUUGUUGUAGAUAAAACCCAAACUUGUUUUUACAGAGGAAUCUGUGGUGAUGCAGUUGUACAGCGUACUGUUAUACAUUUUGAAUUUUAUUAGUUCUUUAGCUGCAAGAUACUGAGAACGUUGUUCAGGAGGAAGCAUAACAGCCAGUGCAUAGAUGUUGUGUAUUGGUGUGGAAGGGGAUGUUACUAAUUGGCUUUCUUCAUUGGCUUCUGAUGUAUAUGGGCUUUGGUUGUUUGCUGAUGCUGGAAUGACUAUUUGUUGAAAUUUCUUUAAAACAUCAAGACCUUCUGUGCAGUUAAGAGACAAAAAUUUUGAUGAUCAAAUACUGCUUUGGUUGGAUUUACAUGGAUUGGGCUUGCAAUGGCAUGUUGAUUUUUCGUUAUUGGAGCCGCAACUUUGCUAUAUUUAAUACUUGUAAUUUUUUUGUUAAUUGCAUCAUGUAUAUUAAUUUUUGGAGUCCUGUUUGUUAAGAGAGGCGGGAACUCAUUAUUAAAAUCACGUUCAGAAAGAA